UUUUAAACCAUUUUCAUUAGUUUCAUUUCUUUUAUUUCAGAGCAAUAAUGUAGUGUUGUAAUCGUCUGCUGCUCCGCACCACAUACCCACUCCGUAAUAGAGACGAGCCGCUGUCCGUCUCUCCUUACUCUCUCUCUCUCUCUCUCUCUCCGCUGCGGCCACCUCUAGCCGUACCUCCUGUCACGAGUUCCUCCCAUCUAACUAUCUAUCCUCUCCAAACCAACACCGAUUUAAUCCCGAGCUUCUGCAGUAUUUUCCAAGUAGGUGGAAACAGGCACAAGGGAAAACUUUGUCUGCAUAUCCAUAUAUUUUAUUUCCUUCAGUUAUACUUGCAUUUUACAGUGAGCUAAAGAUAGAUCCUACCGAGUAUCAGAUUUUACUCACAGACCCGCCUCUUAAUCCUUCGAAGAACCGUGAAAAAUGGUUGAGACCAUGUUUUAGAAAUACAAUUUUGUUGGGGUCUUCAUUCAAAUUCAAGCUGUAGUAACGUUGUAUGCUGAAGGUGCUUAUAGAGAUGAUUAAAGUAUAAUGCAGAAUCUGGACCUGAAAAGUGAUGGCAUAGGUGUUCUGGCUGGAUUGAUGACUGUAAUCAAGGUCUCAGUUCAGCUCUAAUUGUGACUGAAAUUUGAAUCGUUGGGAGGAAGAAGUUGGUUCCUUGCCAUUUUGAGUUGUAGCAAUCCUCAGAAUGCAUGGGAACCUUAAUACAAUCGUCAGAUCAACAACAAAAACGGCAAAGACAAGAAGCAGUUGUAAAUAGUUUGAUGGGCGCGACUUUUGGUUGCAGCGGCAGGAUGACUACAUCAUGUGAUGGCGAUGGGAUUCUGGUGCAGCGGUGAGUGAUCGGGUUUGUGCAGGCAUGCAGGGCGAGUCAAACUGGUGCAGAUGCAGCAGAUCUUAUACUGGUGCAAGAGUGGUCCAGGCAGGCCUAGAUGCGGGUAUGCAGCGGUGGGGCGUUCAACAACUGGUUUUAGACAGACAACAGAAAUCGAGUUACAGCAACAGCAAAUAGCAGCAUGUGGUUCCCGUGCGGCGGCAUGGUGAAACAAAGCAAUCCUCAGAAUGCAUGGGAACCCCAAUACAAUCGUCAGAUCAACAACAAAAACGGCAAAGACAAGAAGCAGUUGUAAACAGUUUGAUGGGCGCGACUUUUGGUUGCAGCGGCAGGAUGACUACAUCAUGUGAUGACGAUGAGAUUCUGGUGCAGCAGUGAGUGAUCGGGUUUGUGCAGGCAUGCAGGGCGAGUCGAACUGGUGCAGAUGCAGCGGAUCUUAUAUUGGUGCAGGAGUGGUCCAGGCAGGCCUGGAUGCGGGGAUGCAGCGGUGGGGCGUUCAGCAACUGGUUUUAGACGGACGACAGAAAUCGAGUUACAGCAACAGCAAAUAGCAGCGCAUGGUUCCCGUGCGGCGGCUUGGUGAAACAAAGGUUCAGUUUCUUUUUUUUUUAUUCCUUUUUUUUUUCAAACUAUAAAACCCUAAUCCAACGACUGAACAAACCAUAACAAAUAAGAGAACGCGACUAGACAAACAAACUAGUUACCAAGAGCAAAUUCGACCCAAAAAGGAUCAAACUCUGCUCUGAUACCAGGUUGAAUAUCAGAGUGCGCAACGAACAAGACUAAUAAAAUAAUAGGAAUAUUAUUAAACAAACUAGAAUGCCGGAACGGUUACAAAACCCUAAGAGCCUACAUUGUGAAUAACUUAUUAUAAACUGAAUAAUAAGCAUGCUAUUUAUAAUAAACUAACCCUAAUCCUAAGAGGUAAGAAACCGAAACCCUAAUGCUAAUGGGCUAAGCCCAGAAAACCAAACAUCCAAAUAAACUAAAAUCCUAAUAUUUUCCAAAGUAGCUGUUAUGAUUGUGAGAUUGUGUAUGUUGGUUAUUGCUUAACUGAGUGAAUAAAGUCAUCAAAAAAGUAGAUGCCAUGUCAGUGUAUGUCAAUGGGGAGUGUAUGAAAUAUAUGAUUACAUUGAUCAGGGAUAAUGAGUGUAACAGAGUCCUAACUGAGCAAUGUAUGUUAGUGACUCGAUGUAGAUGCUGUGCUUUGAGUUUAGUGAGUUUUUUUGGGCAAGGGUUUUCAAGUUUUUUUUUGUUGAAUUUCUCUUGCUUCGUUUUAUUUUUUCAGAUGUACCACAGUAGUCACCUUCCGUACAGAAGCUUCACAUCCUCCCUUAAUAAUUUGUCUUUCUGUCGAAAUUAUUCAUGUCUUCUUGUAUUACGGUUUCAAAAACGAUUUCGAUAUUGUUCACUCAUCUAUUCCUUUAGUUCGUUUAUGAUUAUGUUGAAUUUUUUUAAGGUUAAAUGUGUCUUAUUCAUGUGGUUAAGGCUGGUGUAUUCAAGUCCUGCAGCAAUGCACAUGCAUUUUUACUAGUAACAAACUACUACUGUGGCCUUUUGAAAACUUCACAUAAUAAUAAACUAUUGUCAGCAUUCAUUCUCAUAA
Non-coding RNA from Malus domestica (apple), 2438 nucleotides. The record is from RefSeq and is a predicted model, not a curated record. Lineage: Eukaryota; Viridiplantae; Streptophyta; Magnoliopsida; Rosales; Rosaceae.